UACGUAGGGUGCGAGCGUUAUCCGGAAUUAUUGGGCGUAAAGAGCUCGUAGCGGUUUGUCGCGUCUGUCGUGAAAGUCCGGGGCUUAACCCCGGAUCUGCGGUGGGUACGGGCAGACUAGCCUGCCCUAGGGGAGACUGGAAUUCCUGGUGUAGCGGUGGAAUGCGCCAGAUAUCAGGAGGAACACCGAUGGCGAAGG
RNAcentral lists this ribosomal RNA (198 nucleotides) under uncultured Actinomycetales bacterium. RNAcentral describes it as "partial 16S ribosomal RNA". It matches the Rfam family "Bacterial small subunit ribosomal RNA", at positions 524 to 721 of the family's 1533-position model. The record is from RNAcentral. Lineage: Bacteria; Bacillati; Actinomycetota; Actinomycetes; Actinomycetales.